AGCAGCCGCGGUAAUUCCAGCUCCAAUAGCGUAUAUUAAAGUUGUUGCAGUUAAAAAGCUCGUAGUUGAAUUUCGGGAUCAAUUUAUUGGUCGUGCAAUAGUACGUACUGGUAUUAUUAGUUCCUACCUUCUGAUGAACCAUGAUGUCAUUAAUUUGGUGUUAUGGGGAAUCAGGACUGUUACUUUGAAAAAUUAGAGUGUUUAAAGCAGGCUCACGCUUGAAUACAUUAGCAUGGAAUAAUGAAAUAGGACGUUUGAUUCUAUUUUGUUGGUUUCUAGGAUCGACGUAAUGAUUAAUAGGGAUAGUUGGGGGCAUUAGUAUUCAAUUGUCAGAGGUGAAAUUCUUGGAUUUAUUGAAGACUAACUACUGCGAAAGCAUUUGCCAAGGAUGUUUUCAUUAAUCAAGAACGAAAGUUAGGGGAUCGAAGACGAUCAGAUACCGUCGUAGUCUUAACCAUAAACUAUGCCGACUAGGGAUCGGAUGAUGUUAAUUUUAUAAUGACUCAUUC
This 509-nucleotide ribosomal RNA is filed under the name uncultured Glomus. Its description in RNAcentral is "SSU rRNA". It matches the Rfam family "Eukaryotic small subunit ribosomal RNA", at positions 569 to 1081 of the family's 1831-position model. The record is from RNAcentral. Lineage: Eukaryota; Fungi; Glomeromycota; Glomeromycetes; Glomerales; Glomeraceae.